UACGAGGGGGGCGAGCGUUGUUCGGAAUUAUUGGGCGUAAAGGGUGCGUAGGCGGUUUUGUAAGUCUCGUGUGAAAUCUCCGGGCUCAACUCGGAGCCUGCACGAGAAACUGCCGGGCUUGAGUGUGGGAGAGGUGAGUGGAAUUCCUGGUGUAGCGGUGAAAUGCGUAGAUAUCAGGAGGAACACCUGUGGCGAAAGCGGCUCACUGGACCAUAACUGACGCUGAUGCACGAAAGCUAGGGGAGCAAACAGG
This 253-nucleotide ribosomal RNA is filed under the name uncultured bacterium. RNAcentral's name for it is "partial 16S ribosomal RNA". It matches the Rfam family "Bacterial small subunit ribosomal RNA", at positions 524 to 776 of the family's 1533-position model. The record is from RNAcentral.